Molecule: long non-coding RNA, 1228 nt
Filed under: Salmo salar (Atlantic salmon)
Lineage: Eukaryota; Metazoa; Chordata; Actinopteri; Salmoniformes; Salmonidae
Description: lncRNA (ENSSSAG00000088188.1)
Source: RNAcentral
GUUAUAUAGUAUUAAGUUGGGAUAGUACUGGUAGAUAAAGACAGGUUAUAUAGUAUUAAGUUGGGAUAGUACUGGUAGAUAAAGACAGGUUAUAAAGUAUUAAGUUGGGAUAGUACUGGUAGAUAAAGACAGGUUAUAUAGUAUUAAGUUGGUAUAGUACUGGUAGAUAAAGACAGGUUAUAUAGUAUUAAGUUAGGAUAGUACUGGUAGAUAAAGACAGGUUAUAUAGUAUUAAGUUGGGAUAGUACUGGUAGAUAAAGACAGGUUAUAAAGUAUUAAGUUGGGAUAGUACUGGUAGAUAAAGACAGGUUAUAUAGUAUUAAGUUGGGAUAGUACUGGUAGAUAAAGACAGGUUAUAUUGUAUUAAGUUGGUAUAGUACUGGUUGAUAAAGACAGGUUAUAUAGUAUUAAGUUGGGAUAGUACUGGUAGAUAAAGACAGGUUAUAUUGUAUUAAGUUGGUAUAGUACUGCUUGAUAAAGACAGGUUAUAUAGUAUUAAGUUAGGAUAGUACUGAUACUCAGAACAACAAUAACCACCACUAGUACAUCCGGUUAUAUCUCUGCCUUUACGUUUCAAAACUAUUGUAACGUAUCUUUAACACUAAAAUAUGUAUUUUAUUUGAAAAUGCAGAUUGAUGAUGAUGAUACAUCAUUCCAUACAUUAUAUACAAAAGUAUGUGCACACCCCUUCAAAUUAGUGGAUUUGUCUAUUUCAGCCACACCCGUUGCUGACAGGUGUGUACAAUCGAGCACAUAGCCAUUUAAUCUCCAUAGACAAACAUUGGCAGUAGUAUGGCUUUACUGAAGAGCUCAGUGACUUUCAACGUGGCACCGUCAUUUUCUGCCCUGGUCAACUGUAAGUGCUGUUAUUGUGAAGCGGAAAUGUCUAGGAGUAACAACGGCUCAGCCGUGAAGUGGUAGGCCACACACGCUCACAGAAUGGGACCGCCAAGUGCUGAUGCACGUAGGGAUGGAGAGUUGAACUUAUUCCACGACUGCUGAUACAGUAUCUAGCCUACCUAUGAGGCACAGGCUUCCCCUCUCUAGAGCCAGGGAAAAUAAUUAAAUACAUUUUAGUCAUUUAGCAGACGCUCUUAUCCAGAGCAACUUACAGUAGUGAAUGCAUACAUUUCAUUUCAUACAUUUUUUUUUUUUUUUCCUGUGCUGGCCCCCCGUGGGAAUCGAACCCACAACCCUGGCGUUGCAAACACCAUGCUCUACCAACUGA